This 493-nucleotide ribosomal RNA is filed under the name uncultured bacterium. Its description in RNAcentral is "partial 16S ribosomal RNA". It matches the Rfam family "Bacterial small subunit ribosomal RNA", at positions 28 to 506 of the family's 1533-position model. The record is from RNAcentral.
GACGAACGCUGGCGGCGUGCUUAACACAUGCAAGUCGAACGGUGAAGCGCCUUCCUUUUUGGUGGGUGUGGAUGAGUGGCGAACGGGUGAGUAACACGUGAGUAACCUGCCCCCUUCUUCUGGAUAACCGCAUGAAAGUGUGGCUAAUACGGGAUAUUCUGGGUCUGUCGCAUGAUGGGUCUGGGAAAGAUAUUGUUUCGGUGGGGGAUGGGCUCGCGGCCUAUCAGCUUGUUGGUGGGGUGAUGGCCUACCAAGGCGGUGACGGGUAGCCGGCCUGAGAGGGUGGACGGUCACACGGGGACUGGGACACGGCCCAGACUCCUACGGGAGGCAGCAGUGGGGAAUAGUGCACAAUGGGCGCAAGCCUGAUGCAGCGACGCCGCGUGAGGGAUGGAGGCCUUCGGGUUGUGAACCUCUUUCGCCAGUGAAGCAGGCCUGCCUCGUUUGUGGGUGGGUUGACGGUAGCUGGAUAAGAAGCGCCGGCUAACUACGU